UCAAUGAAUAUUUAUUAAUAACUGAUCAAUAAAUGUAACAUCAGUUUUCAUCUAAAGAUGUUGCAAAUGAUUUCAGAUAACUAAAGUAACUAAUGUUCAGGUAUUUUGCUUAUUUUAACCACACUGUCUCUUAAAAACUGUACUUUUAGAAGACUCAAAAUGAUUCACAGACAUAUGUGCAUAUUACAGUAUUUCUGAUUGGCUUAAAAGCCAGGAGCAAGGCCUCCUUACUGCUUUUCUUCUAAAGCAAGUUUACAGCUGUCACAUUGACAGGUGCGAUUUCUCAGGAUUCUGUCAGAAUGUGGCUCCAAAACACCUAUUUUAUUUAUCAAAAUGUAAUCAAUAUUCAGCAAUUGUUUUCAGAGGUGGUGUUGCUACUGCGAGUUAUGUUAGAAUGAGUUAAUCAUUAGUCUAAUCUAAUCAUAACAGAUCAUUUAUAAAAAAAAGUGUUAAAGGUACAGUAGCAAAAUGGCUUAAGUUGGUAAAAUAAUCACAUCAAAU
Non-coding RNA from Pimephales promelas (fathead minnow), 501 nucleotides. The record is from RefSeq and is a predicted model, not a curated record. NCBI's taxonomy places the organism in Eukaryota, Metazoa, Chordata, Actinopteri, Cypriniformes, Leuciscidae.